CCCCGGCCCCGGGGGUUUCGGAACUGUGCUUUGCGAUGUCCUCGGACUGGCUCUUGAAUAUUCUUACGAAUAUACCGAUCGGCGACGCUACUGCUUUGGGUACUUUCAGGACCCGUCUUGAAACACGGACCAAGGAGUCUAACAUGUGCGCGAGUCAUUGGGUCAAUUAAAGCCUAAAGGCGCAAUGAAAGUAAAGGUCGUUUGAAACAUGGACCGGGGGGGGGGGGGGGUUCACGAUGUGAGCCCGCACUCCCGGGGCAUCUCGAUGUCAUGAGAACUG
Molecule: ribosomal RNA, 280 nt
Filed under: Encarsia inaron
Lineage: Eukaryota; Metazoa; Arthropoda; Insecta; Hymenoptera; Aphelinidae
Description: partial large subunit ribosomal RNA
Rfam family: Eukaryotic large subunit ribosomal RNA
Source: RNAcentral